RNAcentral lists this long non-coding RNA (1013 nucleotides) under Sorghum bicolor (sorghum). Its description in RNAcentral is "long non-coding RNA (SBIC_LNC007508)". The record is from RNAcentral. Lineage: Eukaryota; Viridiplantae; Streptophyta; Magnoliopsida; Poales; Poaceae.
UCCAACAGUCAACAGAACAACACCAGCAGCAGCGCUUUGGGUCAUAACUUCUGAACCAGAUGGUGGGGGCGCCCACUCCACCGGUCCAACUCUCAUCUCGUUCUUAUCCACCCAUCCAUUUUCUAUCUAGCACAAGCACCAAGCAAAUACUCUCUCUCUCUCUCUCCUUCGGAGCCUCACAACCAACUCUGACGGAGCGCCGGGGGUUGUUUCCGGCGAGAUGGAUCCCACAGGAGCGUGGCAGCCGGCGAGCGUUCACACAGGAUGCCUCGAAGUCGCUUGCUAGCUAGGCCAAGGACCUCUCAGCAUCUCGCUCGGUGAUGAUGGAAAAGGCCCAUCCACUGCCUCCCCACAACCUUCAAGGCCAUCGAUCGAAUCCAUGUGCAAGAAGACAUCAGUGGCCUUCCAUGGUGAGGCAGCAUGGCGCACCACCAGCAAGAGCCGAUCACAACUGCGAGCUUUUUUUUAUUUGGUCCGAUUUUGGCCUGGUGGCAUCGAUUUUAGGUCUCGAUCUAUUGUUUGAUUCUAUUUGGUAUUCAUCUUGCCUUUCUCGUUUAGGUCUCAAACAAUAUAUCGAUUUGUUCUAUGUGACUUCUGCUUCUCUCCACAUCGCCGAGACUCCUGAUCUAUCUCCACACCAUCGAAUAGUGUUUAUUUUGGGGGCUUCGAUUUGAUUUCGAACAUCGGUUGGGAUUAUUGUAUCCAAACUUUAUUGUUGUAGUGUCUUGCGGCCUCUAUUAGAGGUUGGACUGGACGUGUGGUCUGCCUUUGUUCCGGUGGUGACGGAUCCGGUUCUGACUCGCUUGCACUAAAAUUUUUGUGUGGGAACGAAAGAAAAAAAUUUAUUAUUUUUUCGUCUGUGCCAGCGUUGAAGCUACCGGGAAUAGCCAAGCUGGGAGGUUUCCUUCAACGACCAGGUCGCCUUGCCACCUCUCUUGCCGGACGCUGGUCCAUGCAGAAUGCCAGUGGAGUCUCUCGUUGCCGCCUCCGCCCGCACCGUCGUUGCUGCCGAU